Molecule: ribosomal RNA, 379 nt
Filed under: uncultured eukaryote
Lineage: Eukaryota
Description: partial 18S ribosomal RNA
Rfam family: Eukaryotic small subunit ribosomal RNA
Source: RNAcentral
CAAUAGCGUAUAUUUAAGUUGUUGCAGUUAAAAAGCUCGUAGUUGGAUUUCGGAUGGGACUUGCCGGUCCGUCGUUUCGAUGUGCACUGGCCAGUCCCAUCUUGUUGUCGGGGACUAGCUCCUGGGCUUCACUGUCCGGGACUAGGAGCUGACGAGGUUACUUUGAGUAAAUUAGAGUGUUCAAAGCAAGCCUACGCUCUGAAUACAUUAGCAUGGAAUAACACGAUAGGACUCUGGCUUAUCUUGUUGGUCUGUGAGACCAGAGUAAUGAUUAAGAGGGACAGUCGGGGGCAUUCGUAUUUCAUUGUCAGAGGUGAAAUUCUUGGAUUUAUGAAAGACGAACUUCUGCGAAAGCAUUUGUCAAGGAUGUUUUCAUUAA